GUGCAGAUUUGCUGCCAAUUCUGACAGUCACAUGCAACACAAUUUUAUGCCUUGGGUUCAUCCUCUGUACAGCCAGCCAUGACACUAAACUGUGGGAAAAGCAGCUCAUACUUGAUUAUCUGUUAUUCACUUUACCUCUUUCUCUAGACACUACUUAGCAUCACUUCAUCCCAGACUUAGUUUGUCUGAGCUUGGUUUUUUUUGACUACUGCUACAACGCAAAAGGCAAGUACCUGCUGUUCCUCUGGGCUGUCUAACAGAAGGAUAAAGUACAAAAGAUGAAAAUGUAAUGAUGGUGAGUAGCUUGUGGGAAUGACACCAUUCACUGGUACUCUAGGUAUCAAAGUACUCACUAACGAGCAAUUUACAAAAGACACUGUUGAGUCAUUUUGAAGGAAAUCACUGAGUGCUGUGAGCAGGAGAGUGCAGACAGCUUCAUGCAAGCGUGAGCUAUUGCCCAGGAGCUGCCGAUUGCAGUUGUGAGCUAUGCAAGAACUGCAGGCAGCUCUUUCCACUUCCACACUCUCCUCUGUGGAUGUCUGGGAGCAGAUGUUCGUUCACCCUCUGCAGAAUCCUACCAGUUGCCCACAUCAUGUGGGCAGAGCUAAGGCCACACAAAGGUCUAAACAAACUGGCAUCCCUGUCUUCUACAUCCAGGAAAUGGUGAGGCAUCUUUCCUUGUACCAGCUGAAUAUCUCUAAUAGGCAUGUGGAUCUAGCAUUUUAUUUUCCUUAUCUUCUUUCUUCCCAAAUAUUAGAGUGGUAAUGGACAAAAUCUGCUCUGACAGUUUUACAUUGUCAAUUUGUCAUUGAAAACCUUGACUAAAUGGUUCCUUUCAAGUGCAGAAAAGAUGCUCUUUAAAGCAUAGCAAUAAGAUUCAGGCAAACUCUGUUCAAUUGCUACUUCUUUGAAACCCAAAUUUCACAUAGAGUGGAGCUGGAAGUUCUGUGUGCUUUGUAAAGAUCUUAGAAAUCUGUGUACCAAACACUACAGGAAAAGGCAGAUAUUAAUACAGAAAGAUGGGCCAGAUUUCUCUUUGCUUGAAUGAUGUAAAUAAGCUGUUCUGGGUGAGUGUGAAGGGAGUUGUCCUGUGUCAAACUUCAGAGACAGUGAUAUGAAUCACUGAAAUGCUGUUUUGCAAAGGUCCUAGGCACUUCUAUGAAGUUGUACUUCACUGGGGUUUUCUCUUGACUUGUUUUGGCAUGUUUACUUAUUCUUAUUAUCUGAUAUGGCUAUUCUUAUUAUCUGUUAUGGCAAGUUUAAUCUAAAUACUAACAGAAAUUUGAAGAUGUUAAUUAAAAAGGAAGAUACACCAAAGCACAAGUGCUCAUUUGUGCACACACCCACAUAUUUGUAAAUAAUGCCACAUGUGCUGGUGGUCAUUUUGUCUUUGGUGGGACACAUCAUCACAGCUCAACCUGCAGGUUCACAUUAUAGCCAGCAAGUGAAAAGUAGGACGAUGGUCUUCCAAAGACCAUCCUCAUCAACUUCACUGAACUCCCAGAUAGACUUUUACAUGCACACCCUUAUAGCACCUUCCAGUACCUAAAGGAGCCUACAGGAAAGCUGGAGACAGGCCUUUUACAAGAGUAUGUAGUGAUAAGACAAGGGCAAAUGGCUUCAUACUAAAAGAUGACAGGUUUAGAUUAGAUAUUAGGGAGAAAUUCUUUACUAUGAGGAUGGUGAGACACUGGAACAGGUUGCCCAGAGAAACGGUCGCAGUCUCAUCCCUGGAAUUGUUCAUGACCGGGUUGGAUGGGCCUUUGAGCAACCUGGUCUAGUGCAAGGUGUCUGUGCCCAUGGCAGGGGGCUUGGAACUAGAUGAUCUUUAAGUUCCCUUCCAACCCAAACCAUCCUAUGAUUCUGUGAUCAAACCUUGAGCAAAGAUACAGCUAGGCAGUGAAUUAAAAACUAGCCAGGUAUGAGUCCAGAAAGUGCAAGUGCAAGUGGUCAUACAAAAGUCCAAAUGCUAGACUAUAAGGAAGGUUGUAACUAGUGGUUCAAAGAGAACCAGUAGGAAAUCUGGGGUCACUGUGUGGCUCUGACACAGACUUCCUUUAUGUCCUUGCCUCAUUCACUUAAUUUAGCAAUUCUCCAGCUAAGGCAAGGAGACAAUACUACCUCCUUAAUGGUCUUAUGAAGGUCUCUUGAGACUGUGGAGAGAGAGAACUUGACUCCCUCUGUGUUUAUAUACUCCUGAGCAAAAGGGAGUCCAGGUUAUAAAUGCCUGGGUCUGCUGCUGCUCCCCAAAGUAAUUGUAUCAAAUAUAUGGACCAACAGUAAAACUUCACAAUGUUUUCCCAUUUGGGGUUAAAGGAUGUAUUUCAUUCGACAACCUGGAAUGUAAAGUAUGGGUAUAGUUUUGAGCUCUCGUUUCUUGUUUUGGUUUGUUUUGUUUGGGUUUUUUUCUAUUUUCGGUCAAUGAAGUAAAAUUCAAAGUGCUUACCCCCUUCUUGUUUUAAAUCAAGACGGUAUCCCUUUAAGAAACAAUGAACAGAUCAUUCAAAUUUUCUUCUGCAUCAUUUUUGUGUCUUUCUUCCUCUAACCAAAUGGUUGCAGUUCAGUCACACACCUGGCAGAAGUUCUUUAGCCCUGUCAGCUGCAAUUUUCCAGAGAAACCUCUUUGCUGAAUAAUUCCUCAUGAGGCUGGAAGAGAGGACAGGUUUGUGUAGCUGUCUGCAUUGGAGGGUAAUAUUGCCCUCUUCCUGUGAUCGUCUGUUGACUUUUGGAGUGUGGGACACUGAAUAACCCAGCAGAGAGAUAUCACCUGUGAGCAAGGAGGUAAGAGCAAGUACUGUUGGUGAGAUGAUGUUAUUCUCUGGACAAUUCUUCUGCCUUUCUAGGCGGGACAGUGUGGCCUCUUUAACCCCAUCACUGGAUCAGUGCUCUGAAAUUACACUAGUGUAAUCAUCCCACCUGAAUUAAGCAAGUAACUCCUGGCUUCUGACUCCACAAUCCAGCCUUGGGCAUCCCCUCUUAGCCUGAUGCCUCUUCCCCUCUUAGCCAUCCCCCUCUUCCUCCCUCUCCCUUGAAGCCCCCUGCUUGUGGGCUCCUUGAUAUUUUCCAGUCCUUCCCUAAUGAGCACUGCAGAAUUACAGCUAAUUAAGGAUGUAAAUGAUGCUGGAGAGGGAGAGAGAGGGAGAGGAUGGGAAAGGGCGGGGGGGAGGGCAGCUACUUGCUGUGUGCAACUCUGCAGUAAAGUGUCUCCUACCUCAGCAGAAAAGUUAUCACGGGAGACAAUGUCAACUUUAUGGAGGUGGGGAGGGCCCUUUGCGUGGCUUCAUCCCUGCCUGCAAUAACUGCUGCCUCUCUUUCAUGUGUCAGCACUGCAGAUGCUGAAGUCCUCCCUCCCAAAUGCUGCUUUGUCAGCUGGUGCUGUCAUCGAGCCCUGGUCUCCUUCUCUGGAACUUGCCACCACCCUCAUUCAUGUGUCACCUGGGGGUGAAGGGCUCAGAAGACCUCAAAAUCUUCCUGUUCUCUGGCCAGUGCCUCGGAGAUGAUGAUGUAGUCCCUAUGUGGGCCGCAGAAAGCACUUCGAGCCGUGCUGGAGUCGUGCUGGGUGGCUCUGAUAGCAGAGCUAAUGGGAGCGAAUGGGAUGCAACGAACUGUUCUAAUGACACCAGCCAGGGAAGAGACAACACUCUUAGGUCUCAUUCAUACAUAUGACCCACUCUACAUCAAAUGUGACUGCUGUCUUCCUUUCAUCUGCCCCAAAAUGAAGGAGAAACUUUGGUACCUUCCCAGUGAAACUUCCAGUCCCCUGUCACUGCCAGGAAAAGGGUAAAUUGGAAUAUCUUCUCUCCCUGCAUCACUCACAGCACACCUCUUUUCUUAGCUAAGCAAGAGGCUUUUCCCUGGUGCCAGUGGAGUCACACUGCAGAAGAGUCACUGCUCUGUGGGGUGAGUGUCAAUCCUGUGCCAGUCCUGUGGGGUGAGUGUCUGUCCUGUCUUCUCCUCCUUACAGGUGGGAAAACAGAGGCAUGGAGCAAGUAGGACACCUUUUUGCUCCUGUAUACCCUGGCCAAGCGUAGUCAGCAGUGGGAGAGCUGGGAGCCUGGUCAGAAGCAGGACUGUCCAUAAUUUAAUUUCUUGUUCAUCUCUCAUUUAAAAGUUUAUUUUAAUGAAAAAGAUCUUCCUGAGAAGCUCCCCUCCAGAUGACUGGUAGAUGUCACAGCACCGUGUCACCC
Long non-coding RNA from Pseudopipra pipra, 4187 nucleotides. RefSeq lists it as uncharacterized. The transcript is spliced from 3 exons. Lineage: Eukaryota; Metazoa; Chordata; Aves; Passeriformes; Pipridae. The record is from RefSeq and is a predicted model, not a curated record.